This 423-nucleotide ribosomal RNA is filed under the name uncultured organism. Its description in RNAcentral is "bacterial SSU rRNA". It matches the Rfam family "Archaeal small subunit ribosomal RNA", at positions 322 to 747 of the family's 1478-position model. The record is from RNAcentral.
CCUAUGGGGUGCAGCAGUUAGGAAUUUUCUGCAAUGUACGAAAGUAUGACAGAUUGAGUCAGAGUGCUUUUCAUAUGAAAAGCUUUUGCCAAAUGUAAAAAGUUUGGCGAAUAAGGACUGGGUAAGACGAGUGCCAGCCGCCGCGGUAAUACUCGCGGUCCAAGUCGCAGCCAUCAUUAUUGGGUCUAAAACAUCCGUAGCUUGCUUAAUAAGUUUCUUGUGAAAUUCCAUGUCUCAAAUAUGGAGCGGGCAAGAAGUACUGUUAAGCUAGAGACUGGAAGACGUAAGAAGUACGUUUGGAGUAGCGGUAAAAUGUGUUAAUCCCAGACGGACUAACAACAGCGAAGGCAUCUUACGAGGACAGUUCUGACAGUAAGGGAUGAAGGCUAGGGGCGCAAAAGGGAUUAGAUACCCCCGUAGUCC